ACUCAAAGGAAUAGACGGGGGCCUGCACAAGCGGUGGAGUAUGUGGCUCAAUUCGAUGCAACGCGAAGAACCUUACCUGGCCUUGACAUGCACGUGGUAGAAGCCUGAAAGGGUAACGACCCCGCAAGGGGAGCGUGCACAGGUGCUGCAUGGCUGUCGUCAGCUCGUGUCGUGAGAUGUUGGGUUAAGUCCCGCAACGAGCGCAACCCUUGCGUCCUGUUGCCACCCGGCCGAUAGGCUGGAGCACUCUGGACGGACUGCCUCGCUUAAACGAGGAGGAAGGUGGGGAUGACGUCAAGUCAGUAUGGCCCUUACGGCCAGGGCUGCACACGUACUACAAUGCCCGAUACAAUGGGGAGCAAACUAGUAAUGGGGAGCAAAUCCUGAAAAUCGGGCCCAGUUCAGAUUGUCGGCUGCAACUCGCCGGCAUGAAGCUGGAAUCGCUAGUAAUGGCGCAUCAGCUACGGCGCCGUGAAUACGUUCCCAGGCCUUGUACACACCGCCCGU
RNAcentral lists this ribosomal RNA (507 nucleotides) under uncultured bacterium. Its description in RNAcentral is "partial 16S ribosomal RNA". It matches the Rfam family "Bacterial small subunit ribosomal RNA", at positions 899 to 1397 of the family's 1533-position model. The record is from RNAcentral.